UAUUAUUUAAAAUGUAAAUAAUAAUACUAAAGUAGUAAUAGUUAUGUUCUUGAAACUUAAAAAAUUUGGCGGUAUUUUAGUCUAUCCAGAGGAACCUGUUUUGUAAUCGAUAAUCCACGAUGGACCUUACUUAAGUUUGUAAUCAGUUUAUAUACCGUCGUUAUCAGAAUAUUUUAUAAGAAUAAAAAUAUUCAAUAAUUUUAAUUAAAAUUUAUAUCAGAUCAAGGUGUAGCUUAUAUUUAAGUAAUAAUGGGUUACAAUAAAUUUAUUUAAACGAAUUAAAUUAUGAAAAAAUUUUUGAAGGUGGAUUUGGUAGUAAAAUUAUAAAGAUAAAUAAUUUGAUUUUAGCUCUAAAAUAUGUACACAUCGCCCGUCGCUCUUAUUAUUAAGGUAAGAUAAGUCGUAACAUAGUAGAUGUACUGGAAAGUGUAUCUAGAAUGA
This 441-nucleotide ribosomal RNA is filed under the name Drosophila hypocausta. Its description in RNAcentral is "partial 12S ribosomal RNA". Lineage: Eukaryota; Metazoa; Arthropoda; Insecta; Diptera; Drosophilidae. The record is from RNAcentral.